This 73-nucleotide transfer RNA is filed under the name Ailuropoda melanoleuca (giant panda). It matches the Rfam family "tRNA". Rfam says of the family: Transfer RNA (tRNA) molecules are approximately 80 nucleotides in length. Their secondary structure includes four short double-helical elements and three loops (D, anti-codon, and T loops). Further hydrogen bonds mediate the characteristic L-shaped molecular structure. tRNAs have two regions of fundamental functional importance: the anti-codon, which is responsible for specific mRNA codon recognition, and the 3' end, to which the tRNAs corresponding amino acid is attached (by aminoacyl-tRNA synthetases). tRNAs cope with the degeneracy of the genetic code in two manners: having more than one tRNA (with a specific anti-codon) for a particular amino acid; and 'wobble' base-pairing, i.e. permitting non-standard base-pairing at the 3rd anti-codon position. The record is from Rfam by way of RNAcentral. Lineage: Eukaryota; Metazoa; Chordata; Mammalia; Carnivora; Ursidae.
GCCUGGCUGGCUCAGUCAGUAGAGCGUGCGACUUUUGAUCCCAGGGUUGAGAGUUCGAGCCCCAUGUUCGGUG